RNAcentral lists this ribosomal RNA (489 nucleotides) under uncultured bacterium. RNAcentral's name for it is "partial 16S ribosomal RNA". It matches the Rfam family "Bacterial small subunit ribosomal RNA", at positions 30 to 507 of the family's 1533-position model. The record is from RNAcentral.
UUGAACGCUGGCGGCAUGCCUUACCCAUGCAAGUCGAACGGCAGCAUGAUCUAGCUUGCUAGAUUGAUGGCGAGUGGCGAACGGGUGAGUAAUACAUCGGAACGUGCCCUGUAGUGGGGGAUAACUAGUCGAAAGAUUAGCUAAUACCGCAUACGACCUGAGGGUGAAAGUGGGGGACCGCAAGGCCUCAUGCUAUAGGAGCGGCCGAUGUCUGAUUAGCUAGUUGGUGAGGUAAAGGCUCACCAAGGCGACGAUCAGUAGCUGGUCUGAGAGGACGAUCAGCCACACUGGGACUGAGACACGGCCCAGACUCCUACGGGAGGCAGCAGUGGGGAAUUUUGGACAAUGGGCGAAAGCCUGAUCCAGCAAUGCCGCGUGUGUGAAGAAGGCCUUCGGGUUGUAAAGCACUUUUGUCCGGAAAGAAAUGGCUCUGGUUAAUACCUGGGGUCGAUGACGGUACCGGAAGAAUAAGGACCGGCUAACUACGUG